GUGGGGAAUCUUCCGCAAUGGACGAAAGUCUGACGGAGCAACGCCGCGUGAGUGAAGAAGGUUUUCGGAUCGUAAAGCUCUGUUGUUUGAGACGAAUGUGCAGACUUUGAAUAAGGGUUUGUAAUGACGGUAUUAAACGAGAAAGCCACGGCUAACUACGUGCCAGCAGCCGCGGUAAUACGUAGGUGGCAAGCGUUGUCCGGAAUUAUUGGGCGUAAAGGGAGCGCAGGUGGGAAUGUAAGUCAGUCUUAAAAGUGCGGGGCUCAACCCCGUGAGGGGAUUGAAACUACAUUUCUUGAGUGCAGGAGAGGAAAGUGGAAUUCCUAGUGUAGCGGUGAAAUGCGUAGAGAUUAGGAGGAACACCAGUGGCGAAGGCGACUUUCUGGACUGUAACUGACACUGAGGCUCGAAAGCCAGGGGAGCGAACGGGAUUAGAUACCCUGGUAGUCC
RNAcentral lists this ribosomal RNA (450 nucleotides) under uncultured bacterium. Its description in RNAcentral is "partial 16S ribosomal RNA". It matches the Rfam family "Bacterial small subunit ribosomal RNA", at positions 354 to 796 of the family's 1533-position model. The record is from RNAcentral.